GCCGGGGUAGCUAAAUGGUAAAGCAACGCUUUUGUAAAGCGGAGAUUUGGAGGUUCAAGUCCUCUCCCCGGCUCCA
This 76-nucleotide transfer RNA is filed under the name bacterium. RNAcentral describes it as "tRNA-Thr". It matches the Rfam family "tRNA". Rfam says of the family: Transfer RNA (tRNA) molecules are approximately 80 nucleotides in length. Their secondary structure includes four short double-helical elements and three loops (D, anti-codon, and T loops). Further hydrogen bonds mediate the characteristic L-shaped molecular structure. tRNAs have two regions of fundamental functional importance: the anti-codon, which is responsible for specific mRNA codon recognition, and the 3' end, to which the tRNAs corresponding amino acid is attached (by aminoacyl-tRNA synthetases). tRNAs cope with the degeneracy of the genetic code in two manners: having more than one tRNA (with a specific anti-codon) for a particular amino acid; and 'wobble' base-pairing, i.e. permitting non-standard base-pairing at the 3rd anti-codon position. The record is from RNAcentral.